UUGUUGGUGAACAAACGCAACCAAAUCAGCGUGGAAAAGGUUUCCUAUAUUGACUCAUUUGCAAUGACAAAUUUAUGGAAUGGAAAGAGCCAGAGACUCAAGAUCAACCCGGUGGAAUACAAACUUAUUGUUGGCAUUGUCAAUGAGCAUAAGCAUUGGAAGCUGGCGGCAAUCAUGCCAGGAGAAAAAAGGUCCUUACUAGUUGAUCCUCUUGGUGAGUCUCAAAUGGACAUUAAAAAAUGCCUGGAAUCAACCCGGGCGUUCAUGCGCAAGAAAGGGUGCAAUGUUUCCAGGUGGACUUGUGGCACUGUCCCCCAUCCCAGGCAACAAGAUUCAACCUCUUGUGGUGCAUUUGC
Syngnathus acus (greater pipefish) is the source of this 356-nucleotide long non-coding RNA. RefSeq lists it as uncharacterized. The record is from RefSeq and is a predicted model, not a curated record. NCBI's taxonomy places the organism in Eukaryota, Metazoa, Chordata, Actinopteri, Syngnathiformes, Syngnathidae. The transcript is spliced from 4 exons.